Molecule: ribosomal RNA, 512 nt
Filed under: uncultured bacterium
Lineage: Bacteria
Description: partial 16S ribosomal RNA
Rfam family: Bacterial small subunit ribosomal RNA
Source: RNAcentral
GAUGAACGCUGGCGGCGUGCCUAAUACAUGCAAGUCGAACGAAACUUCUUUAUCACCGAGUGCUUGCACUCACCGAUAAAGAGUUGAGUGGCGAACGGGUGCGUAACACGUGGGCAACCUGCCCAAAAGAGGGGGCUAACACUUGGAAACAGGUGCUAAUACCGCAUAACCAUAGUUACCGCAUGGUAACUAUGUAAAAGGUGGCUAUACUACCGCUUUUGGAUGGGCCCGCGGCGCAUUAGCUAGUUGGUAGGGUAAAGGCUUACCAAGGCAAUGAUGCGUAGCCGAAUUGAGAGGUUGAUCGGCCACAUUGGGACUGAGACACGGCCCAAACUCCUACGGGAGGCAGCAGUAGGGAAUCUUCCACAAUGGGCGAAAGCCUGAUGGAGCAACGCCGCGUGGGUGAAGAAGGUCUUCGGAUCGUAAAACCCUGUUGUUAGAGAAGAAAGUGCGUGAGAGUAACUGUUCACGUUUCGACGGUAUCUAACCAGAAAGCCACGGCUAACUACGUG